GAUGAACGCUGGCGGCGUGCCUAAUACAUGCAAGUCGAGCGAACAGACGAGGAGCUUGCUCCUCUGACGUUAGCGGCGGACGGGUGAGUAACACGUGGAUAACCUACCUAUCAGACUGGGAUAACUUCGGGAAACCGGAGCUAAUACCGGAUAACAUGUUGAACCGCAUGGUUCAAUAGUGAAAGACGGUCUUGCUGUCACUUAUAGAUGGAUCCGCGCCGCUUUAGGUAGUUGGUAAGGUAAAGGGUUAUCAAGGCAACGAGGCGUAGACGACCUGAGUGGGGGGUAGGCCACACUGGAACGGAGACACGGUCCAGACUCCUACGGGAGGGAGCAGUAGGGAAUCUGCCGCAAUGGGCGAAAGCCUGACGGAGCAACGCCACGUGAGUGAAGAAGGUCUUCGGAGCGUAAAACUCUGUUAUUAGGGAAAAACAAAUGUGGAAGUAACUAUGCACGUCUUGACGGUACCGAAUCAGAAAGCCACGGCUAACUACGUG
Molecule: ribosomal RNA, 497 nt
Filed under: uncultured bacterium
Lineage: Bacteria
Description: partial 16S ribosomal RNA
Rfam family: Bacterial small subunit ribosomal RNA
Source: RNAcentral